GUAGUCCACGCCGUAAACGAUGGAUGCUAGUAGUGUGGAGUAUCGACCCUCUGCGUUGCGAAGCUAACGCGUUAAGCAUCCCGCCUGGGGAGUACGGCCGCAAGGCUAAAACUCAAAGGAAUUGACGGGGACCCGCACAAGCAGUGGAGCAUGUGGUUUAAUUCGAUGCUACGCGAAGAACCUUACCGACCCUUGACAUCCUGGUCGUAUCCUCUGGAGACAGAGGAGUCAGUCUGCUGGACCAGUGACAGGUGUUGCAUGGCCGUCGUCAGCUCGUGUCGUGAGAUGUUGGGUUAAGUCCCGCAACGAGCGCAACCCUUGUUGUUUGUUGUAUUUUUCAAACAAGACUGCCCGAGCCAAUCGGGA
This 366-nucleotide ribosomal RNA is filed under the name uncultured bacterium. Its description in RNAcentral is "bacterial SSU rRNA". It matches the Rfam family "Bacterial small subunit ribosomal RNA", at positions 790 to 1167 of the family's 1533-position model. The record is from RNAcentral.